CACAGAAGCAUUCUUCAGCAAAGAUAAUUAAUUCAAACAUUAAAAAUAUAUACAUUCUGUUGUUUUGCUUUCCUCUUUCAGAAAGGGAGUUUUAAAAACCUUUUUCCUUCACCUAGUAGACCUGGCAGUAUAUGAGUGUUUGUUAUUUCUCCUGUGCUGUGGAGUCCUCAUACGCUUUGCCACCUUACAGCUGCACCACUCGCGAAGACCCUGUUUUUGUGAUCUAGCUGAAUUGUGACUUCAGGAAGAUGAAGUUUGGAUGUUGCCGUUCUUGUGGCAAACACAGGUGACACACCAAUACAGGGGGCUGGAUGCUGGUCCCCCCUGGGCAUGGCGUGAAUUCUUCAGAGUAUGGAUGUACGCAGUGUACGGGUGAGGGGUGUCCCUGUUCGUGUCCCUAAAGAGGGAACAAGAAGGACGCUGAUAAAACUCCAGAUGGUUUGCUCAUCCACGUCUACUCCACACAUUUCUCCUAGAUGGCGGCACCUCCUUUCCAUCCUGACUUGGAGGGGCUUCAUUUCAGACGGUUGAGACUUUUCCAAGCCAGGAUUGGGCUGAUGCAGGGGACCUCCUCCGAGCAAGAGGGUGCAUGCCAUGGAUGACAAAGGCAGGAGCUGCUCAGUCCAAACCCGGGUCCCCCAACCACCGUCUAGUGGACGUGUAACAUCGGGCAAGUGAUGCAGCUUUCC
Molecule: long non-coding RNA, 689 nt
Organism: Homo sapiens (human)
Lineage: Eukaryota; Metazoa; Chordata; Mammalia; Primates; Hominidae
Exons: 3
Source: RefSeq, a predicted model, not a curated record